CUGAUUAGCUUGUUGGCGGGGUAACGGCCCACCAAGGCUACGAUCAGUAGGGGUUCUGAGAGGAAGGUCCCCCACAUUGGAACUGAGACACGGUCCAAACUCCUACGGGAGGCAGCAGUGAGGAAUAUUGGUCAAUGGACGAGAGUCUGAACCAGCCAAGUAGCGUGCAGGAUGACGGCCCUAUGGGUUGUAAACUGCUUUUAUAAGGGAAUAAAGUGAGUCUCGUGAGACUUUUUGCAUGUACCUUAUGAAUAAGGACCGGCUAAUUCCGUGCCAGCAGCCGCGGUAAUACGGAAGGUCCGGGCGUUAUCCGGAUUUAUUGGGUUUAAAGGGAGCGUAGGCCGGAGAUUAAGCGUGUUGUGAAAUGUAGAUGCUCAACAUCUGCACUGCAGCGCGAACUGGUUUCCUUGAGUACGCACAAAGUGGGCGGAAUUCGUGGUGUAGCGGUGAAAUGCUUAGAUAUCACGAAGAACUCCGAUUGCGAAGGCAGCUCACUGGAGCGCAACUGACGCUGAA
Molecule: ribosomal RNA, 516 nt
Filed under: uncultured bacterium
Lineage: Bacteria
Description: bacterial SSU rRNA
Rfam family: Bacterial small subunit ribosomal RNA
Source: RNAcentral